RNAcentral lists this transfer RNA (63 nucleotides) under Cardita variegata. Its description in RNAcentral is "tRNA-Cys". The record is from RNAcentral. Lineage: Eukaryota; Metazoa; Mollusca; Bivalvia; Carditida; Carditidae.
GGUUAAAAAAAUUUGGGAUGUUGCAAGCAUUUCUGUUGGUAACUUUAUAGUUGUCUUUAACCU